UAACACGUGGGCAACCUGCCUGUAAGACUGGGAUAACUUCGGGAAACCGGAGCUAAUACCGGAUAAUCCUUUUCCUCUCAUGAGGAAAAGCUGAAAGACGGUUUACGCUGUCACUUACAGAUGGGCCCGCGGCGCAUUAGCUAGUUGGUGAGGUAACGGCUCACCAAGGCGACGAUGCGUAGCCGACCUGAGAGGGUGAUCGGCCACACUGGGACUGAGACACGGCCCAGACUCCUACGGGAGGCAGCAGUAGGGAAUCUUCCGCAAUGGACGAAAGUCUGACGGAGCAACGCCGCGUGAGUGAUGAAGGUUUUCGGAUCGUAAAACUCUGUUGUUAGGGAAGAACAAGUACAAGAGUAACUGCUUGUACCUUGACGGUACCUAACCAGAAAGCCACGGCUAACUACGUGCCAGCAGCCGCGGUAAUACGUAGGUGGCAAGCGUUGUCCGGAAUUAUUGGGCGUAAAGCGCGCGCAGGCGGUCCUUUAAGUCUGAUGUGAAAGCCCACGGCUCAACCGUGGAGGGUCAUUGGGAAACUGGGGGACUUGAGUGCAGAAGAGAAGAGUGGAAUUCCACGUGUAGCGGUGAAAUGCGUAGAGAUGUGGAGGAACACCAGUGGCGAAAGGCGACUCUUUGGUCUGUU
This 643-nucleotide ribosomal RNA is filed under the name Niallia circulans. Its description in RNAcentral is "bacterial SSU rRNA". It matches the Rfam family "Bacterial small subunit ribosomal RNA", at positions 111 to 738 of the family's 1533-position model. Lineage: Bacteria; Bacillati; Bacillota; Bacilli; Caryophanales; Bacillaceae. The record is from RNAcentral.